RNAcentral lists this long non-coding RNA (315 nucleotides) under Anas platyrhynchos platyrhynchos (common mallard). RNAcentral describes it as "lncRNA (ENSAPLG00000029200.1)". Lineage: Eukaryota; Metazoa; Chordata; Aves; Anseriformes; Anatidae. The record is from RNAcentral.
AAAUAAUUUCAUUGAAUCUGCUUUUGACAGAGGCAUUCAUAGGACACAGAACUGUUCGUUUGCCUCUAUGUCUGAAAACAUUACUGCGAAUCAUCCCAUAGCUUCUUUCAGGUACCAAGUGGGCUGAGCAGAUACCUGAAGAAGGUAGAGGCCAAGAAAUGCAUAACUUCAUCCAGUCCUAAGAAUCAUACUGUUAGUUCUUUGAACUAUGUUAAUUAUUGUAAAAGAAAAACUCCAUUCUUUCAUAGUCACCAGCAGCUUUCUGAAUCCGUUGACGUAAUUCAUGAAUCAUCAUGGCAGGCAGCAAAACGUUGA